RNAcentral lists this ribosomal RNA (497 nucleotides) under uncultured bacterium. RNAcentral's name for it is "partial 16S ribosomal RNA". It matches the Rfam family "Bacterial small subunit ribosomal RNA", at positions 28 to 507 of the family's 1533-position model. The record is from RNAcentral.
GAUGAACGCUGGCGGCGUGCCUAAUACAUGCAAGUCGAGCGAACGGACGAGAAGCUUGCUUCUCUGAUGUUAGCGGCGGACGGGUGAGUAACACGUGGAUACUCUACCUAUAAGUCUGGGAUAACUUCGGGAAUCCGGAGCUAAUACCGGAUAAUAUUUUGCACCGCAUGGUUCAUAAGUGAAAGACGGUCUUGCUGUCACUUAUAGAUGGAUCCCCGCUGCAUUAGCUAGUCGGUAAGGUAACGGCUUACCAAGGCAACGAUGCAUAGCCGACCUGAGAGGGUGAUCGGCCACACGGGAGGUGAGACACGGUCCUGACUCCUACGGGACGCAGCAGUAGCGAAUCUAACGCAGUGGGCGAAAGCCUGACGAAGAAACGCCGCGUGAGUGAUGAAGGUCUUCAGAUCGUAAAGCUCUGUUAUUAGGGAAGAACAUAUGUGUAAGUAGCUGUGCACAUAUUGACGGUACCUAAUCAAAAAGCCACGGCUAACUACGUG